This 255-nucleotide long non-coding RNA is filed under the name Mytilus galloprovincialis (Mediterranean mussel). The record is from RNAcentral. Lineage: Eukaryota; Metazoa; Mollusca; Bivalvia; Mytilida; Mytilidae.
UGGCGGCAAUCUUGGAUGGCGGAUCGGCUACAAAGUAACAACACUUGGUCAGCACCUCAUAAGGAACAUUCAUGCCAUGCUUGGUUUUAUUCCAUUCAGUGGUUCUCUAAAAGAAGUCAUUUGUAUGCAUUUCCCAUAGGGUCCUAUGUUAAACUAAGUCCCCUGCUGGCGGCCAUCUUGGAUGAUGGAUCUGCUACAAAGUAACAACACUUGGUCAGCACCUCAUAAGGAACAUUCAUGCAAUGUUUAGUUUUA